Molecule: transfer RNA, 88 nt
Filed under: Candidatus Gallionella acididurans
Lineage: Bacteria; Pseudomonadati; Pseudomonadota; Betaproteobacteria; Nitrosomonadales; Gallionellaceae
Also listed under: 1 other name
Rfam family: tRNA
About the family: Transfer RNA (tRNA) molecules are approximately 80 nucleotides in length. Their secondary structure includes four short double-helical elements and three loops (D, anti-codon, and T loops). Further hydrogen bonds mediate the characteristic L-shaped molecular structure. tRNAs have two regions of fundamental functional importance: the anti-codon, which is responsible for specific mRNA codon recognition, and the 3' end, to which the tRNAs corresponding amino acid is attached (by aminoacyl-tRNA synthetases). tRNAs cope with the degeneracy of the genetic code in two manners: having more than one tRNA (with a specific anti-codon) for a particular amino acid; and 'wobble' base-pairing, i.e. permitting non-standard base-pairing at the 3rd anti-codon position.
Source: Rfam by way of RNAcentral
GGAGAGGUGGAUGAGUGGUUUAAGUCGCACGCCUGGAAAGCGUGUUUGGGAUAAUAUCCCAACGGGGGUUCGAAUCCCCCCUUCUCCG